Non-coding RNA from Solanum lycopersicum (tomato), 112 nucleotides. The record is from Rfam. Lineage: Eukaryota; Viridiplantae; Streptophyta; Magnoliopsida; Solanales; Solanaceae.
AGCCACGCAGUGAACACAUAGCGAACUAUUCUUUCGCCUUUUACUAAAGAAUACCGUGUGUGCACUGCAUAUCGUGGGGUUCUCUUUUCUGAAGCUCCAACAACUCAAGUUU